AGAGUUUGAUCCUGGCUCAGAUUGAACGCUGGCGGUAUGCUUAACACAUGCAAGUCGAACGGAAACGAUACUAGCUUGCUAGUAGGCGUCGAGUGGCGGACGGGUGAGUAACGCGUAGGAAUCUACCUAAUAGUGGGGGAUAGCCCGGAGAAAUCCGGAUUAAUACCGCAUAAUCUCUAUGGAGUAAAGGGGCCCUCUUCUUGAAAGGUUUCGCUAUCAGAUGAGCCUGCGUAAGAUUAGCUAGUUGGUGAGGUAAAAGCUCACCAAGGCGACGAUCUUUAGCUGGUCUGAGAGGAUGAUCAGCCACACUGGGACUGAGACACGGCCCAGACUCCUACGGGAGGCAGCAGUGGGGAAUAUUGGACAAUGGGGGCAACCCUGAUCCAGCAAUACCGCGUGUGUGAAGAAGGCCUGAGGGUUGUA
This 423-nucleotide ribosomal RNA is filed under the name uncultured marine bacterium. Its description in RNAcentral is "bacterial SSU rRNA". It matches the Rfam family "Bacterial small subunit ribosomal RNA", at positions 8 to 427 of the family's 1533-position model. The record is from RNAcentral.